AUUGAACGCUGGCGGCAUGCUUUACACAUGCAAGUCGAACGGUAACAGGCCGCAAGGUGCUGACGAGUGGCGAACGGGUGAGUAAUGCAUCGGAACGUGCCCAGUCGUGGGGGAUAACUACUCGAAAGAGUAGCUAAUACCGCAUACGAUCUAUGGAUGAAAGCGGGGGACCGUAAGGCCUCGCGCGAUUGGAGCGGCCGAUGUCAGAUUAGGUAGUUGGUGGGGUAAAGGCUCACCAAGCCAACGAUCUGUAGCUGGUCUGAGAGGACGACCAGCCACACUGGGACUGAGACACGGCCCAGACUCCUACGGGAGGCAGCAGUGGGGAAUUUUGGACAAUGGGCGCAAGCCUGAUCCAGCAAUGCCGCGUGCAGGAAGAAGGCCUUCGGGUUGCAAACUGCUCUUGUACGGAACGAAACGGCUCUGGUUAAUACCCGGGGCUAAUGACGGUACCGUAAGAAUAAGCACCGGCUAACUACGUG
Molecule: ribosomal RNA, 482 nt
Filed under: uncultured bacterium
Lineage: Bacteria
Description: partial 16S ribosomal RNA
Rfam family: Bacterial small subunit ribosomal RNA
Source: RNAcentral